This 253-nucleotide ribosomal RNA is filed under the name uncultured bacterium. RNAcentral describes it as "partial 16S ribosomal RNA". It matches the Rfam family "Bacterial small subunit ribosomal RNA", at positions 524 to 776 of the family's 1533-position model. The record is from RNAcentral.
UACGUAGGUGGCAAGCGUUGUCCGGAGUUAUUGGGCGUAAAGCGCGCGCAGGCGGUGCGGUAAGUCUCUGGUGAAAGCGCUCGGCUUAACUGGGCGAGGGCCGGGGAGACUGCCACGCUGGAGGGGAGCAGAGGCGAGUGGAAUUCCGGGUGUAGUGGUGAAAUGCGUAGAGAUCGGAAAGAACACCAACGGCGAAAGCACUCUGCUGGGCCGACACUGACACUGAGAGACGAAAGCUAGGGGAGCGAAUGGG